Long non-coding RNA from Sphaerodactylus townsendi, 439 nucleotides. RefSeq lists it as uncharacterized. The record is from RefSeq and is a predicted model, not a curated record. The transcript is spliced from 3 exons. NCBI's taxonomy places the organism in Eukaryota, Metazoa, Chordata, Lepidosauria, Squamata, Sphaerodactylidae.
GGGGAGUGCUCCUCCCUCAAUUCUCUUUUUCAUCAUGGAAGAGUAUCAAGAAGGGCAAAUGGAGGUCCACAGCGGGGAAAGGAGGAAGGGAUGUGUGCCUCAAAGAACCACAGUUACAAGAAAAAGCUAAGGACUUAAGGAAGAGAGAGUCUUCAAAAUAAGAUGAAGGAAACCAUCUUGUGGUAUCCAGUGUGGAAAAGUAUUCAUUGAAUCAGCUGACACAGCCUGUUGUGGAAUUUCAUCAGAAAAGUUAUGAAAAAGGCUAAACGUGAUCAAGAGAUGCAGAACUGGCAAUGCAUGUGAAAGUCAAAAUGAAGUAUUUGGGAAAACUCCGGGUUUUCACAACCUGAAAAAAUCUGAAUCCUUUGCUAAUUUGUUUUCUGAUUUUGUGAUAAAAGAACACACCAAAGAUUAUUAUUUAUUUUGACAGAACAUCCGU